RNAcentral lists this ribosomal RNA (497 nucleotides) under uncultured bacterium. RNAcentral's name for it is "partial 16S ribosomal RNA". It matches the Rfam family "Bacterial small subunit ribosomal RNA", at positions 28 to 507 of the family's 1533-position model. The record is from RNAcentral.
GAUGAACGCUGGCGGCGUGCCUAAUACAUGCAAGUCGAGCGAACGGACGAGAAGCUUGCUUCUCUGAUGUUAGCGGCGGACGGGUGAGUAACACGUGGAUAACCUACCUAUAAGACUGGGGUAACUUCGGGAAACCGGAGCUAAUACCGGAUAAUAUUUUGAACCGCAUGGUUCAAAAGUGAAAGACGGUCUUGCUGUCACUUAUAGAUGGAUCCGCGCUGCAUUAGCUAGUUGGUAAGGUAACGGCUUACCAAGGCAACGAUGCAUAGCCGACCUGAGAGGGUGAUCGGCCACACUGGAACUGAGACACGGUCCAGACUCCUACGGGAGGCAGCAGUAGGGAAUCUUCCGCAAAGGGCGGAAGCCUGACGGAGCAACGCCGCGUGAGUGAUGAAGGUCUUCGGAUCGUAAAACUCUGUUAUUAGGGAAGAACAUAUGUGUAAGUAACUGUGCACAUCUUGACGGUACCUAAUCAGAAAGCCACGGCUAACUACGUG